Molecule: transfer RNA, 85 nt
Filed under: Deltaproteobacteria bacterium RBG_19FT_COMBO_46_9
Lineage: Bacteria; Deltaproteobacteria
Also listed under: 2 other names
Description: tRNA-Leu
Rfam family: tRNA
About the family: Transfer RNA (tRNA) molecules are approximately 80 nucleotides in length. Their secondary structure includes four short double-helical elements and three loops (D, anti-codon, and T loops). Further hydrogen bonds mediate the characteristic L-shaped molecular structure. tRNAs have two regions of fundamental functional importance: the anti-codon, which is responsible for specific mRNA codon recognition, and the 3' end, to which the tRNAs corresponding amino acid is attached (by aminoacyl-tRNA synthetases). tRNAs cope with the degeneracy of the genetic code in two manners: having more than one tRNA (with a specific anti-codon) for a particular amino acid; and 'wobble' base-pairing, i.e. permitting non-standard base-pairing at the 3rd anti-codon position.
Source: RNAcentral
GCGAGAGUGGCGGAACUGGUAGACGCGCUGGAUUUAGGAUCCAGUAGCAUUUGCUGUAGGGGUUCAAGUCCCCUCUCUCGCACCA